This 253-nucleotide ribosomal RNA is filed under the name uncultured bacterium. Its description in RNAcentral is "partial 16S ribosomal RNA". It matches the Rfam family "Bacterial small subunit ribosomal RNA", at positions 524 to 776 of the family's 1533-position model. The record is from RNAcentral.
UACGUAGGGUGCGAGCGUUGUCCGGAAUUAUUGGGCGUAAAGAGCUCGUAGGCGGCCUGUCGCGUCGGAUGUGAAAGCCCGGGGCUUAACCCCGGGUCUGCAUUCGAUACGGGCAGGCUAGAGUGUGGUAGGGGAGAUCGGAAUUCCUGGUGUAGCGGUGAAAUGCGCAGAUAUCAGGAGGAACACCGGUGGCGAAGGCGGGUCUCUGGGCAACAACUGACGCUGAGGAGCGAAAGCGUGGGGAUCAAACAGG